UACGGAGGGUGCAAGCGUUAAUCGGAAUUACUGGGCGUAAAGCGCACGCAGGUGGCUGAGUCAGUCGAUUGUGAAAGCCCUGGGCUUAACCUGGGAAUUGCAGUCGAUACUACUCAGCUAGAGUAUGGGAGAGGGUAGUGGAAUUCCCGGUGUAGCGGUGAAAUGCGUAGAUAUCAGGAAGAACACCCGUGGCGAAGGCGGUUCUCUGGGACGGUACUGACGCUGAGACGCGAAAGCGUGGGGAGCAAACAGG
RNAcentral lists this ribosomal RNA (253 nucleotides) under uncultured bacterium. RNAcentral describes it as "partial 16S ribosomal RNA". It matches the Rfam family "Bacterial small subunit ribosomal RNA", at positions 524 to 776 of the family's 1533-position model. The record is from RNAcentral.